AGACAGUGGCGUACGGGUGAGUAACACGUGGAUAAUCUACCCUGGAGUGGGGAAUAACGCUGGGAAACCGGCGCUAAUACCGCAUAAUCCCGAGAGGGCAAAGGAGCAAUUCGCUUCAGGAGGAGUCCGCGGCCGAUUAGCUAGUUGGCAGGGUAAAAGCCUACCAAGGCAACGAUCGGUAGCCGGCCUGAGAGGGCACACGGCCACACUGGCACUGAAACACGGGCCAG
Molecule: ribosomal RNA, 230 nt
Filed under: uncultured bacterium
Lineage: Bacteria
Description: partial 16S ribosomal RNA
Rfam family: Bacterial small subunit ribosomal RNA
Source: RNAcentral